Molecule: ribosomal RNA, 471 nt
Filed under: uncultured bacterium
Lineage: Bacteria
Description: bacterial SSU rRNA
Rfam family: Bacterial small subunit ribosomal RNA
Source: RNAcentral
UGAGGAAUAUUGGACAAUGGGCGCAAGCCUGAUCCAGCCAUACCGCGUGAGUGAAGAAGGCCUUCGGGUUGUAAAGCUCUUUCAGACGGAAAGAAACGGUUACGGCUAAUACCCGUGACUAAUGACGGUACCGUAAGAAGAAGCACCGGCUAACUACGUGCCAGCAGCCGCGGUAAUACGUAGGGUGCGAGCGUUAAUCGGAAUUACUGGGCGUAAAGCGUGCGCAGGCGGUUUGGUAAGACAGAUGUGAAAUCCCCGGGCUUAACCUGGGAACUGCAUUUGUGACUGCCAGACUAGAGUGUAGCAGAGGGGGUAGAAUUCCACGUGUAGCAGUGAAAUGCGUAGAUAUGUGGAGGAAUACCGAUGGCGAAGGCAGCCCCCUGGGCUAACACUGACGCUCAUGCACGAAAGCGUGGGGAGCAAACAGGAUUAGAUACCCAGGUAGUCCCUGAGCGGGCUGGCAAGGCGCAU